Molecule: ribosomal RNA, 834 nt
Filed under: uncultured bacterium
Lineage: Bacteria
Description: bacterial SSU rRNA
Rfam family: Bacterial small subunit ribosomal RNA
Source: RNAcentral
AGUCGAACGGACUUAACCUAUUCUUAACGAUUAGGAGCGGUUAGUGGCGGACUGGUGAGUAAUGUAUAAGUAACCUGCCUAUCAGAGGGGAACAACAGUUGGAAACGACUGCUAAUACCGCAUAUGCCACGAGAAUCACAUGGUUCAAGUGGGAAAGGAGCAAUCCGCUGAUAGAUGGACUUAUAUCUGAUUAGCUAGUUGGUGGGGUAACGGCCUACCAAGGCGACGAUCAGUAGCCGGACUGAGAGGUUAAACGGCCACAUUGGGACUGAGAUACGGCCCAGACUCCUACGGGAGGCAGCAGUCGGGAAUAUUGCGCAAUGGAGGAAACUCUGACGCAGUGACGCCGCGUGCAGGAAGAAGGUUUUCGGAUUGUAAACUGCUUUAGACAGGGAAGAAAAAAGACAGUACCUGUAGAAUAAGCUCCGGCUAACUACGUGCCAGCAGCCGCGGUAAUACGUAGGGAGCGAGCGUUAUCCGGAUUUAUUGGGUGUAAAGGGUGCGUAGACGGGAAAUUAAGUUAGUUGUGAAAUCCCACGGCUCAACUGUGGAACUGCAACUAAAACUGAUUUUCUUGAGUACUGGAGAGGAAAGUGGAAUUCCUAGUGUAGCGGUGAAAUGCGUAGAUAUUAGGAGGAACACCAGUGGCGAAGGCGACUUUCUGGACAGAAACUGACGUUGAGGCACGAAAGUGUGGGGAGCAAACAGGAUUAGAUACCCUGGUAGUCCACACCGUAAACGAUGGAUACUAGGUGUAGGGUGUGAUAAACACUCUGUGCCGUCGCAAACGCAAUAAGUAUCCCACCUGGGGAGUACGGCCGCAAGGUUGAAACU